RNAcentral lists this ribosomal RNA (465 nucleotides) under uncultured bacterium. Its description in RNAcentral is "partial 16S ribosomal RNA". It matches the Rfam family "Bacterial small subunit ribosomal RNA", at positions 338 to 795 of the family's 1533-position model. The record is from RNAcentral.
CCUACGGGAGGCAGCAGUGGGGAAUAUUGCGCAAUGGGCGAAAGCCUGACGCAGCGACGCCGCGUGAGGGAUGAAGGUCUUCGGAUCGUAAACCUCUGUCAGCAGGGAAGAACGGUCACUGUGCUAAUCAGCAGUGAAUUGACGGUACCUGCAAAGGAAGCACCGGCUAACUCCGUGCCAGCAGCCGCGGUAAUACGGAGGAUGCGUGCGUUAAUCGGAAUUACUGGGCGUAAAGCGCUCGUAGGCGGUAUGUCAAGUCAAGGGUGAAAUCCCCGCGCUAAACGUGGGAACUGCCUGUGAAACUGGCAAACUUGAGUGUGUGAGAGGAUAGUGGAAUUCCAGGUGUAGGAGUGAAAUCCGUAGAUAUCUGGAGGAACAUCAGUGGCGAAGGCGACUAUCUGGCACAUAACUGACGCUGAGGAGCGAAAGCGUGGGUAGCAAACAGGAUUAGAUACCCGAGUAGUC